RNAcentral lists this ribosomal RNA (467 nucleotides) under uncultured bacterium. Its description in RNAcentral is "partial 16S ribosomal RNA". It matches the Rfam family "Bacterial small subunit ribosomal RNA", at positions 29 to 507 of the family's 1533-position model. The record is from RNAcentral.
ACGAACGCUGGCGGCGUGCUUAACACAUGCAAGUCGAACGGAAAGGCCCUGCUUUUGUGGGGUGCUCGAGUGGCGAACGGGUGAGUAACACGUGAGUAACCUGCCCUUGACUUUGGGAUAACUUCAGGAAACUGGGGCUAAUACCGGAUAGGAGCUCCUGCUGCAUGGUGGGGGUUGGAAAGUUUCGGCGGUUGGGGAUGGACUCGCGGCUUAUCAGCUUGUUGGUGGGGUAGUGGCUUACCAAGGCUUUGACGGAUAGCCGGCCUGAGAGGGUGACCGGCCACAUUGGGACUGAGAUACGGCCCAGACUCCUACGGGAGGCAGCAGUGGGGAAUAUUGCACAAUGGGCGGAAGCCUGAUGCAGCAACGCCGCGUGCGGGAUGACGGCCUUCGGGUUGUAAACCGCUUUCGCCUGUGACGAAGCGUGAGUGACGGUAAUGGGUAAAGAAGCACCGGCUAACUACGUG